Molecule: ribosomal RNA, 98 nt
Filed under: uncultured bacterium
Lineage: Bacteria
Description: partial 16S ribosomal RNA
Source: RNAcentral
UACACACGCCCGUCACAUCACGAAAAGUGGGUUGUACUAGAAGUCGCAAUCCCAACCGCAAGGAGGGUAGCGCCCAAGGUAUGACCCAUGAUUGGGUG